Molecule: ribosomal RNA, 492 nt
Filed under: uncultured bacterium
Lineage: Bacteria
Description: partial 16S ribosomal RNA
Rfam family: Bacterial small subunit ribosomal RNA
Source: RNAcentral
AGUGAACGCUGGCGGUAGGCCUAACACAUGCAAGUCGAACGGCAGCACAGUAAGAGCUUGCUCUUACGGGUGGCGAGUGGCGGACGGGUGAGGAAUACAUCGGAAUCUACUUUUUCGUGGGGGAUAACGUAGGGAAACUUACGCUAAUACCGCAUACGACCUACGGGUGAAAGCAGGGGAUCUUCGGACCUUGCGCGAUUGAAUGAGCCGAUGUCGGAUUAGCUAGUUGGCGGGGUAAAGGCCCACCAAGGCGACGAUCCGUAGCUGGUCUGAGAGGAUGAACAGGCCCAAUGGAACAGAGACACGGUCCAGACUCCUAAGGGAGGCAGCAGUGGGGAAUAUUGGACAAUGGGCGGAAGCCUGAUCCAGCCAUACCGCGGGGGUGAAGAAGGCCUUCGGGUUGGAAAGCCCUUUUGUUGGGAAAGAAAAGCAGCAGGUUAAUACCCCGCUGUUCUGACGGUACCCAAAGAAUAAGCACCGGCUAACUUCGUG